Oncorhynchus nerka (sockeye salmon) is the source of this 1024-nucleotide long non-coding RNA. RefSeq lists it as uncharacterized. The record is from RefSeq and is a predicted model, not a curated record. Lineage: Eukaryota; Metazoa; Chordata; Actinopteri; Salmoniformes; Salmonidae. The transcript is spliced from 2 exons.
UCACUGCAGCCCUUUCAUAUUACAUUGCAAAGGACAUGAUGCCAUUUCAAAUGGUUGAGAGGCCUGUCUUUCUGUGGCUGAUGGAGGUUGCUGUCCCUCACUACAAUGUGUGGCAUAUCAAGAAGCUGAUUAAACAGCAUGACCAACUGGCCUCACAACCGCAGACCACGUGUAACCACGCCAGCCCAGGACCUCCACAUCCGGCUUCUUCACCUGCAGGAUCGACUGAGACCAGCCACCCAGACAGCUGAUGAAACUGAGGAGUAUUUCUGUCUGUAAUAAAGCCCAUUUGUGGGGGGAAAAUCAUUCUGAUUGGCUGGGCCUAGCUCCCCAGUGGGUGAGGUGAGACUGGCUCCCAAGUGGGUUGGCCUAUGCCUUCCAAGGCCCACCCAUGGCUGCUCCCCUGCCCAGUCAUGUGAAAUCCAUAGAUUAUCGCCUAAUUUAUUUAUUUCAACUGACUGAUUUCCUUAUAUGAACUGUAACUCAGUAAAAUUGUUGAAAUUGUUUCAUGUUGCGUUUAUAUUUUUGUUCAGUAUAAAGCAUAAUUGAGAAAUAAUUCAUUAAAAUGAGCAUAUUUAUGAUAUUUUGGCCUUACCCAUGCCUCAUUUAAGACUCCAUAAUGUUUCAUAUGUAGGUGCUACUGUCACACCCUGGUCUAAGUAUUUUGUGUUUUCUUCAUGUAUUGGGUCAGGCCAGGGUGUGGCAUAGAGUUUUUGUAUUGUGGUGUGUUUUGUCUUGGGAUUUUGGGAAGUGUGUAUAGUGGGAUUGUAGCUUAGUGGGGUGUUCUAGGAGAGUCUAUGGCUGUCUGAAGUGGUUCUCAAUCAGAGGCAGGUGUUUACCGUUGUCUCUGAUUGGGAACCAUAUUUAGGCAGCCAUAUUCUUUGGUUGUAUUGUGGGUGAUUGUCCUGUGUGUCUUGAUGUCCUGGUUAGAGGUUAGUAGACACUUGUAUAGGCUGUUUUCGGUUUGUAGUGUUAGUGUUUUGUUGUGUGUUACGUUUGUUUAUUAAAGAUGAAUCACAAUAGA